UUUUGAUUUUGAAAAACAAGUGCGAGUUUAAAUUUAACCAAAUGUCUCAUCGUGAUUUUAAGAGUGAAGAAGGGGGCUCUAGGAAAUCUAGAAAACGAGCGGCAGAAAGGGAAGAAGAGCUUGAGUAUAGACGAGGCUCCCCAUCAUGAAGAACCUCCAUCAGUCGUGCACAACAAUUCAGGUUUAGAAUUUACUCGAGAAACUGAAACACACCAAAUACAAUAUUUACAACCUGAUGGUGGAUAUGUGAAUUCUGAUUCUGAUUGCAAUGAUGACUACGAUGUUGAAAAUGAAGAGCCCCUUUCAGCUUAUCUUCCCAUAUUGAGUGUGGCAUUCUAUCUUUCAAAUAGCUUGACAAAAAAAGCACUUGGUCAUCAUAUUAGAAUUUUCAAUAUAUCAACACACGGUGCCUAUAAACAACUCACUAGUGUACAUAACUUGAUGUCCAAAUACAAUCAUUUAAA
Molecule: long non-coding RNA, 464 nt
Organism: Daphnia magna
Lineage: Eukaryota; Metazoa; Arthropoda; Branchiopoda; Diplostraca; Daphniidae
Exons: 3
Source: RefSeq, a predicted model, not a curated record